UGACGGAGCAACGCCGCGUGAGUGAUGAAGGUUUUCGGAUCGUAAAACUCUGUUGUUAGGGAAGAACAAGUACCGGAGUAACUGCCGGUACCUUGACGGUACCUAACCAGAAAGCCACGGCUAACUACGU
RNAcentral lists this ribosomal RNA (130 nucleotides) under uncultured Bacillus sp. RNAcentral's name for it is "partial 16S ribosomal RNA". It matches the Rfam family "Bacterial small subunit ribosomal RNA", at positions 384 to 506 of the family's 1533-position model. Lineage: Bacteria; Bacillati; Bacillota; Bacilli; Caryophanales; Bacillaceae. The record is from RNAcentral.